RNAcentral lists this ribosomal RNA (273 nucleotides) under uncultured archaeon. RNAcentral's name for it is "partial 16S ribosomal RNA". It matches the Rfam family "Archaeal small subunit ribosomal RNA", at positions 717 to 982 of the family's 1478-position model. The record is from RNAcentral.
ACACGACUACAUUAGACUACCCCUGUAGUCCUAGCCGUAAACGAUACUCGCUAGGUGUCGGCCACGGUGCGACCGUUGUCGGUGCCGUAGGGAAGCCGUGAAGCGAGCCCACCGUGGGAAAGUACCGGGCCGACAAGGCUAGAAACUUAAAGGAAUUGGCGGGGGAGCACAACAACGGGUGGAGCUUGCGGUUUAAUUGGAUUCAACGCCGGAAAUCUUACCGGGACCGACAGCAACAUGAAGGCCAAGCUGAAGACUUUGCCGGAUUAGCUG